UACGUAGGGUGCAAGCAUUGUCCGGAAUUAUUGGGCGUAAAGAGCUCGUAGGCGGCCUGUCGCGUCGGAUGUGAAAGCCCGGGGCUUAACCCCGGGUCUGCAUUCGAUACGGGCAGGCUGGAGUUCGGUAGGGGAGAUCGGAAUUCCUGGUGUAGCGGUGAAAUGCGCAGAUAUCAGGAGGAACACCGGUGGCGAAGGCGGGUCUCUGGGCCGAUACUGACGCUGAGGAGCGAAAGCGUGGGGAGCGAACAGG
This 253-nucleotide ribosomal RNA is filed under the name uncultured bacterium. Its description in RNAcentral is "partial 16S ribosomal RNA". It matches the Rfam family "Bacterial small subunit ribosomal RNA", at positions 524 to 776 of the family's 1533-position model. The record is from RNAcentral.